UUUUACUCGAGGACAGCAGUGAUAACCUCUUGUGGGAAACUCGAGAAACAGAUUUUAUUGUAUUGAGUGAUUACAGCUUCUGUUUUCUGCUGCUGUCUGCUUUUUCUUCAUUAGAGUUUCAGUAGGAUUCUUCUGCUUACAGGAGGAAGCAGGAGGGUUUUAGCUCCCGUGGUUUGAGCACAACCACAUUAGGGAGGAUCACACACAUAAACACCCACAAACUGAAAUUACCCGCUGCAGCAGCAGCAGACGUCUAUAUGCAGCCGAUCUGAGAGAACUGAGGGAUAAUCUUGCCCUUCUGCCUGGUUUGAGGCUCUAUAAUGAUGCUCGGUAGUUUCUGGGUGGCUUUCAGCUCCCACCCAGUUUUAAUAACAGUGAGUGUGUCAGCUGGUGAUGUACACCCCCGGCUGACUCCUCCUCUCCUGGAUGUGGUUGGCCAGCUGGUGUCCAUGGAGACGCAGCUGUGGAGUGGCUGAGAAAGACUGGAGACCCCAGCACUCAUGAGGGACGACAUCUGCCCUGUGAUUUCACUCUGUCCUCAGAUCUAGGUAUGGUUCAUAUACACAAGCACUUUUCAUGAGUACAGUACAUUUUGGUGUCAUAUGAUGUUUCAUGUUUUAAUGCAGAAUUUUCAUGCUUUUGUUUGUGAGACUGAUUAGAUUAAACAAGAAAAAAGUGCCUGUAUCCCUUUGUAAAAUGUUAAUUUUGGCCAGUCCCACAACAGAAGUCCUUCUCGGCAUUAUCUAACAAUCUAAAGGAAUAGUUCACCCAAAGAUAAAAAUUUGCUCAAUAUUUACUCACCCUCAGGCCAUCCGAGAUGUCCAUGAGUUUGUUCCUUUAUCAGAUUUGGAGAAAUGUAGCAUUCCCUCACUUGCUCACCAAUGGAUCCUCUGCAGUGAAUGUGUGCCGUCAGAAUGUGAUCAGAUAAAAACAUCACAAUAAUCCACAAAUAAUCCACAUAGUCCAUCACUUAAUGUCUUGUGAAGCCAAAAGAUGCGCGUUUGUAAGAAUCAAUCAAGACAUUUUUCAUUUCUAAUUGCUUUCGGCUAAUAUAGAGUCUACUAUCCAUAAUAUUGCUUUCUUCUGAAUCAGGAGAGAAAUAUGCACAGAUCAAGACAACAGGGGAUAGACUUUUUCACUGGAAGAAGCAUUAUUAUGGACUCAUAUUUUGGCCAGAAGGGACGGUUUACAGUUAAAAUAACAUAAUGGAUUUGUUUCUUACAAAAAUGCAGUUUUUCUCUUCACAGCAUGGACUGGAGUCGUGUGGAUUUCUUGUGGAUUAUUGUGAUGUAAUUCUUUAAAUUGUUAUACCCUGGAGAUAAUAUUAUCGGUACAGCAUAGUGUGAAAAUAAGUAAAUAAUUUCAUUUCAUUUUCUCAGUUUUACAAAUAUUGUAGUACUGACCUCAUUGGACAAGCUCAUUCGUGAGAUAAUAAACAUCAAUGAUGCUUUGCCACAAGAAAAGAAAACAAAUAAAUUUCUUAAAUUUAUGGCAAUUAUUAACAACUACAAACCCAUAUUGUGCCCCAAAGUAGCUUAAUAUAGGUUA
This is a long non-coding RNA of Cyprinus carpio carpio, 1548 nucleotides long. The record is from Ensembl. NCBI's taxonomy places the organism in Eukaryota, Metazoa, Chordata, Actinopteri, Cypriniformes, Cyprinidae.